Molecule: ribosomal RNA, 480 nt
Filed under: Photobacterium damselae
Lineage: Bacteria; Pseudomonadati; Pseudomonadota; Gammaproteobacteria; Vibrionales; Vibrionaceae
Description: bacterial SSU rRNA
Rfam family: Bacterial small subunit ribosomal RNA
Source: RNAcentral
CGCGGUGAUACGGAGGGUGCGAGCGUUAAUCGGAAUUACUGGGCGUAAAGCGCAUGCAGGCGGCCUGUUAAGUCAGAUGUGAAAGCCCGGGGCUUAACCUCGGAAUUGCAUUUGAAACUGGCAGGCUAGAGUCUUGUAUAGGGGGGUAGAAUUUCAGGUGUAGCGGUGAAAUGCGUAUAGAUCUGAAGGAAUACCAGUGGCGAAGGCGGCCCCCUGGACAAAGACUGACGCUCAGAUGCUAAAGCGUGGGGAGCAAACAGGAUUAGAUACCCUGGUAGUCCACGCCGUAAACGAUGUAUACUUGGAGGUUGUGGCCUUGAGCCGUGGCUUUCGGAGCUAACGCGUUAAGUAGACCGCCUGGGGAGUACGGUCGCAAGAUUAAAACUCAAAUGAAUUGACAGGGGCCCGCACAAGCGGUGGAGCAUGUGGUUUAAUUCGAUGCAACGCGAAGAACCUUACCUACUCUUGACAUCCAGAGAA